RNAcentral lists this transfer RNA (80 nucleotides) under Deinococcus radiopugnans ATCC 19172. RNAcentral describes it as "tRNA-OTHER". The record is from RNAcentral. Lineage: Bacteria; Thermotogati; Deinococcota; Deinococci; Deinococcales; Deinococcaceae.
GGGGAUGUGGUUGGACGUUCGGCUGCCGUCUCAAAAUCGAGCGGGAAACCGUGGGGGUUCGAGUCCCCCCAUCGGCACCA